Molecule: transfer RNA, 608 nt
Filed under: uncultured Prochlorococcus sp.
Lineage: Bacteria; Bacillati; Cyanobacteriota; Cyanophyceae; Synechococcales; Prochlorococcaceae
Description: partial contains 16S ribosomal RNA, 16S-23S ribosomal RNA intergenic spacer, and 23S ribosomal RNA
Rfam family: tRNA (bases 224-296)
Source: RNAcentral
UGGAUCACCUCCUAACAGGGAGACAACAAAAUGUUGAAUAUUAUUUUGUCACCUUAGGUCGAUCGGUAUCUCACGUUCUUAAUUUAUUAAGAAUUUCAUUUCCUAAGUUUUUCUAGGUCACACCCAUUAUUUUUCCUGGGCCAUUAGCUCAGGUGGUUAGAGCGCACCCCUGAUAAGGGUGAGGUCCCUGGUUCAAGUCCAGGAUGGCCCAUAUCUCUAUGUUGGGGGUAUAGCUCAGUUGGUAGAGCGCCUGCUUUGCAAGCAGGAUGUCAGCGGUUCGAGUCCGCUUACCUCCACUGAUUACCACCUCUUCCAUAACCGGUAGAAAGGAAAUGUUUUGAGUUGUGAUCAAAUUCUGAAAGAAUCUAGCUUCCUAAUGAAAUCAUUAAGAUGCUGGACUCAUUGAAUUAAUUUCAUUGUUUUCAGAGAACCUUGACAACUGCAUAGAUUAUUUUUAAAGACAAUAAGCAUCUUUAAUGAUGCAGAUUUAUUAUUUGUGCGAAUGCAUUAAUAACAAUUCUAUUAAGCUGAUGCUUCAAUUUUUGAAGUUAUUGGUCAAGCUACAAAGGGCUCACGGAGGAUACCUAGGCACACAGAGGCGAUGAAGG